GGUGGCAGGCCCACCGGGAUCUGCUGUCGGAAGUCGGUCCCAAACAACCCCGGCUGCUGUGGUAAAGAGCCAUGGUAGUGAGCGCAGGGGCAGGGAAAGAUCACGUAACGCUGAUUUUUUG
This is a non-coding RNA of Escherichia coli, 121 nucleotides long. The record is from Rfam. NCBI's taxonomy places the organism in Bacteria, Pseudomonadati, Pseudomonadota, Gammaproteobacteria, Enterobacterales, Enterobacteriaceae.